UUGAGUGAAAUCAUCCAUAUAUACACUUACUUUGUUUGAUCCUCCACAUAUUUUUGGAAAUUUGAAUGGGGAAAAAUCAUCACCUUAAGGAAGAGUCAGAGCCAGACAAUACUUUAUCACUGUCAGUACUGUUUUCAGCCCCACUCCUAGAGGUCCUUUGUACAUCCAAAUUCGGAGCUUUCCAGAGUUCCUGAAUCAGCCUGCUCCUGUGCUGUCCCUGGGGCUGACGUCAUGAGAUUUGCUUAGAUCUGCCAGAUACUGAACAUCAGAGAGGAAUAUCCAAGAGGAGAGAAAACUCCCAAACUGAUGUCCCAGCUAGCAAUUCUUUUCUUUA
Diceros bicornis minor is the source of this 334-nucleotide long non-coding RNA. RefSeq lists it as uncharacterized. Lineage: Eukaryota; Metazoa; Chordata; Mammalia; Perissodactyla; Rhinocerotidae. The record is from RefSeq and is a predicted model, not a curated record. The transcript has 3 exons.